RNAcentral lists this ribosomal RNA (194 nucleotides) under uncultured bacterium. Its description in RNAcentral is "partial 16S ribosomal RNA". It matches the Rfam family "Bacterial small subunit ribosomal RNA", at positions 338 to 524 of the family's 1533-position model. The record is from RNAcentral.
CCUACGGGAGGCAGCAGUGGGGAAUAUUGCACAAUGGGCGCAAGCCUGAUGCAGCCAUGCCGCGUGUGUGAAGAAGGCCUUCGGGCUGUAAAGCACUUUCAGUUGUGAGGAAGGUUCAUGCGUUAAUAGCGCAUGGAUUUGACGUUAGCAACAGAAGAAGCACCGGCUAACUCCGUGCCAGCAGCCGCGGUAAU